CCUGAACGCACCUGUGGUACAAGUGACGUCUUCAUUUGUGUUGAACCUGGUUUGAACCUGCAGUGAAGCUGCGCUGCUCCUCGAGCUAGCAGGUAGCUCCUCGAGCUAGCAGGUAGCUCCUCGAGCUAGCAGGUAGCUACGAAGCCAGCGCAGAAUGGACCGGAUUUGGACCAGAAAUGUACCGAAGAAAAGCUGAACAACAGACACGAAAGAGGCUGUUUCUACCAGGCAGACCCUGAGAGAGAGCACGAAGCAGUUGGCUGGAAAUCAGACCGAAAAGAAACAAGAACACAGAGAGUUUAGUUACGGAGCGACUGACAUGGAUGAAGUGCAGUCAACGACGGUUGUCGUCUCUGUCCAUGGUGCUGAAAAGGACAACGGUCUGAAAACUGAAACUGCUGAAGUUCCCAGCCCUGGAAAGGAUGAAGCAGUGGAAGGAGAAUGGAGGACAAAGGCAGAACAGGUCUUCAAGAGGGAGUCCACACCCCCUAGUGGACCAUUGAGGGCCACACAGGGCCACCAGAGGGCCACACAGGGCCACCAGAGGCUCAACAGCUGAAGGACGUCAGGCGUCUUCUCAGGUCCUGUCUCUUCUCUGCCAUCUACCGUCAGCCAUGAGAACAACACCACACGGCUAAAGACACUGCCAGCCAUGCCCUGCCUCUAAAAACAAACACCAGUUGUUAGCAUUUCCAUCGCUCACACCAAGAUCGAGUCGAUAAUAUUCUGUCGUGGAAUUCUUUGCUGAUUGUUCUUUCUGUAGACAUCGCCCGUUUUUCUUUAAACACAUAAAUAUAUAGACCAGACGAGGAGGAGAGAAGAUGCCGGAGCUGGAGAGAAGCUGUGGCGCUGUUCAGCUGAUGAGCGCGGUGAUGCUGCCGCUGCUGCUGCUGCUGUCGAUCUCCGGCUGUUCCUGCAUGGACGUGCUGGUAACAAAUAACAUCAAUGCACUGAACGGAUCGACAAUCAAAAUCUCCUGCACUUUCACUUCCUGCUACAAGAUGGACGCAGCUCAGUUCUCCAUGAACUGGACCUACCAGGAGUCCUCCAAUCACACGGAGGAGAGGUUCAUGACCUACCAUGUGAAAAAGAAAAUGGUACCUGUCCGCUCAGACCGCUUCGGGGACAGGGUGAUGUUUGCCGGGAACUUAGAUAAGAAUGACCUGUCAAUCACCCUGUCGGAUGUUCAGUUGGAGGAUGUGGGAAUUUACAACUGCUACGUGAAGAACCCCCCCGACCGCAUCCAGGGUCACGGAAUCAUCCAGCUCAACGUCGUCACUGAACUUCCCCCUCCGAGAGACUCAACCAUUGCGGUGGCCAUCGGCGCCUCGGUGGGCGGAGCCCUGGCUCUGCUGAUCCUCUCUAUGGUGGUGGUGAAGUGUCUGCGUCGACACCGGAAGCAGGAACUGAUUUCAGAGGAGAAGAUGGAGGAAGAGGGGAAACUGGAGGCCGACGGCGUGACUGAGGAGGAGGCCAAGUAAGGCGUGGCUGGUUGUCAUGGUGACACUAGUCCAAAUCUCUGGUUCACAUCUAAAUAUGAGUCUUCUAAAAAAUAUUGAAACAAUAUCAGUCCAGGUUUGUGGAGAAAUUACUGCAGAGGACAUUUUGCAGUUUUGUAAUAGCAAAGUUCCAAGCUUUAGAAAAACCAGGUGCAUGAUGGGAAUGGUGAAGAACACCCUAAACAGAACAGACUUCAGUUCAUCCACAGUUUUACUAAUGCUAACCUGCUGUUGGGGUUUGGGGAAACUCUAGGCAACCAUAACAGGAACCAACGAAGCCCCCCCCCCACCCCCCAACGAACCCAACGCCACACAGCUUCUUCCUGACGACCUGAAGUAAACACUGCCACAAUCAGUCAUCGGUCUGACCACACACUGGUCCAGCUGUGUUUCUUCUUUUUUUUUCUCCUCACUGUGACACUAACCCGUCACUGUAACCAGUCAUAACUUUACCAGGUUAACCACACCAGCUGUGUCCAAAAUCACUGCCAAUGUCACCAGAAGGGGCGUGGAACCAACACAGGCCAUUUGAUUGGUUGUAAUGUUAAAGGAUUUCCUGACCAGCUGAUAACUAACUAAACUAACUAGACUGAACCAAUUAUCAUUUAUUAAUUUGUAACACAAAGUUGACUUUGUAUUUCUCUUGUUAACGAACAUAUUUAUCUUGAAAAGUUUCCUUUUUUAUCAAAUUAAUUUUAUUUUGUAAUUUCUGAAACAUUCUUCACUUUGUCUUUUUUGAUUGGCUGCUCCGUUGUUACUUGUUUUGCAGCUGCACGUGUCAUUCCUUCCAUUCUUGUAGAUAAUGUCAUGUGAUCACACCUGAGGACCAAGAAUGCUGUGGCAGAAACUGAAAUGAUUCUCCUUUUCCAAAGGGUUGAAUUUGUCUUUAUAUUUUGUAUAUGUUGCCCUCGUUAUUGACAUCACAUAUAUAUAUAUAUAUAUAAAACAUCCAAAACCAGUCAAAUCAAAACUAACAUCACAACCAACAGAGGCCCACCCACAGACAACAGUCAGUACCAGUCAGUACCAUUAUUGCACACUAGGAGUGCCAGUGAGAACAGCAGAGUAAAAACAGAUCCACCUUUAAAUGAAUAUUGCUGGUUGACAGGGUUGGUUACAAUAACCCUGUAGGUUAGUCACCUAGUCACCGAUGUUUCGAGCAUGUCAUACCAGUGCAGCUCAGUAACCAGUACUAUCAUCAGUUAAACCAGUUACUUGUUACUAAAGAGUUAUUUGACAGCAUGCAUUUGACAAGUUUGACAAGUAUUCAGUUCAAAUAAAAAAACUAAAUAUGUGAUUAAAGAUAUACAAUAUAUAUGUAUAUGCACAUAUAUACGUAUAUGUGCAUAUAUAUGUGUGUAUAUAUAUUCUAUAUAUCUCAGAUAGUCUAAACAAUAUUUAAAUACUACAAUAUAUUUACAAAAUAUUAUUGAAAUAUUAGAACUCCAAAGUGAUGUGUUUACUUGGACACAGACGUGUUGCUAGGUAGACUGGUUGUUUUGCACAUUAUAUAAACACUGACAAGCAUGAUGGGAAAUAUAUAAAUAUAUGUAUAUAUGUAUAUAUAUAUAUAUAUAUAUACAUAUACAUAUAUACAUAUACGUUGGCUAAAAUGGUCAAUUUGAAUGUAGUGGAACCAGAACAGAUGUUUAUUUAUUUUACUUUGAAUGUAAAAAAGUACUGUAGUACCAAAUAAGAGAUGAAUAUUUCAUUUAAUGACGUGUUGUAGCAUGUGGGACGUGAUAAUCACUGAAUGGGGAGGGGAG
This is an RNA transcript of Cynoglossus semilaevis (tongue sole), 3265 nucleotides long. It is a transcript of the gene named sodium channel, voltage-gated, type II, beta, with no coding region annotated. Lineage: Eukaryota; Metazoa; Chordata; Actinopteri; Pleuronectiformes; Cynoglossidae. The transcript has 10 exons. The record is from RefSeq and is a predicted model, not a curated record.